AAGAAGCAGUGUGGACAACUCUAAAGGACACUGGAAGGGAAGAGGAAGGAAGUACAUUGGUUCUUCAGGAGGCGGGGGAUGCAAUGGACAGGAGAAGUAGCAGUGACAUGGUACCGUCUUGACUCUUGCAAACAAAAUCUACCCUGGUUACCACAAAUGCUUUUCUCCAUGCCUUUGCUUUUGAAAGUAUUAGCUACAAGGAUGAGUCUGGGAUCCCAAGUGGACACUGUGGUGAAAAGCAUGGCUGCUUCUGGAAAGAACUCAGAUGAAGAGAAGGAGGGAUAUGUUGCCAUGGAGCUGCUGAUGAGUCACUGAGUCAUGGCUUGCUUUGCUCAAGUGACUGUGGUUUUUAUAACACUGAUACUCAAAUCAGACACCCGUGGAUUCUACUUUUAAAAACUUCAAGGUACAUUCCACGGGACUGAACAGAUUCAUGACAAAAGAACAUUCUAUUUGGUCAAAUUUGAAUUUCAAGAGAUGGCCAACUUUUAAUGAGAAGGCAUUACGGUUUUGUUUCCCUUUUCUUUAUGUGACUCAGUGAUAUUUCUCUUUGGCUGGAACUGUUUUCUCUAAGCACACGCUGUUUUCCUGUCCAUGUCACCAGUAGCUCAAACUUCCUGAUGUCAUGUCCCAUCUUUACCCAAAGGGUGUCCUUUUGAAGACCUCAGGCCAUGUGGAAGAAAAAUAAUCAGCGCCAAGUUCAGAAGACAAAUGUUGCAAGGGGGAUUUUUUUUCCCUCUCCUCUUGGUUAUUCUUAAACAUGUGUAGUUUUAGAGAUCAGUAUGUCAGUGUUUUGAAAGAAGCAAAGACUUGAAUUUAUUUUGGUGCAGCUAUCAGAUUUUGAGGAGCUGGAUCAUUUGUUUUCCUCUUGUGAGGUCCAGAUCCUUCCCUUUAACAAAUGGAGCUCCCCUGAUUCGUUCCCAAGGAGUAAAAGCAGGUCAUGUGGUGUCUCCUUAACCAAGAUGACAGGCAGCCUAGAGAGGAGGCCAUUCCUGGAGCAUCUAGGGGACCCAGCACAAGGAAGGCAUGCAGGAGGGCCAUCCACUUAGCAGGCCCAUCCUAACUCAGAGUACCUCAUCACAAAUUGGAUUGCAGAGAACUCAAAUGAAGAGGACAAGCAAACUCAGGAAUGUGGAGCACCCAUCAUCUGCCAUGGUCAAGGAGAUAAUCUGUGGAGAGAGAGAGAAAACAGAUGGAGAGAGCUGCACAC
Molecule: long non-coding RNA, 1210 nt
Filed under: Sus scrofa (pig)
Lineage: Eukaryota; Metazoa; Chordata; Mammalia; Artiodactyla; Suidae
Description: lncRNA (ENSSSCG00030018265.1, ENSSSCG00040051722.1, ENSSSCG00060009146.1)
Source: RNAcentral